AUUGAACGCUGGCGGAAUGCUUUACACAUGCAAGUCGAACGGCAGCACGGACUUCGGUCUGGUGGCGAGUGGCGAACGGGUGAGUAAUAUAUCGGAACGUAUCCAAUAAUGGGGGAUAACUAAUCGAAAGGUUGGCUAAUACCGCAUACGCCCUACGGGGGAAAGCUAGGGACCUUCGGGCCUGGCGUUAAUGGAGCGGCUGAUAUCUGAUUAGCUAGUAGGUGAGGUAAAGGCUCACCUAGGCGACGAUCAGUAGCUGGUCUGAGAGGACGACCAGCCACACUGGAACUGAGACACGGUCCAGACUCCUACGGGAGGCAGCAGUGGGGAAUUUUGGACAAUGGGCGAAAGCCUGAUCCAGCCAUUCCGCGUGAGUGAAGAAGGCCUUCGGGUUGUAAAGCUCUUUCGCAAGGGAAGAAAACUUAUCCUCUAACAUAGGGUGAGGUUGACGGUACCUUGAUAAGAAGCACCGGCUAACUACGUGCCAGCAGCCGCGGUAAUACGUAGGGUGCGAGCGUUAAUCGGAAUUACUGGGCGUAAAGCGUGCGCAGGCGGUUUUGUAAGUCAGAUGUGAAAUCCCCAAGCUCAACUUGGGAACUGCGUUUGAAACUAUAAGACUAGAAUAUGUCAGAGGGGGGUAGAAUUCCACGUGUAGCAGUGAAAUGCGUAGAGAUGUGGAGGAAUACCAAUGGCGAAGGCAGCCCCCUGGGAUAAUAUUGACGCUCAUGCACGAAAGCGUGGGGAGCAAACAGGAUUAGAUACCCUGGUAGUCCACGCCCUAAACGAUGUCUACUAGUUGUUGGUGGAGUAAAACCCAUGAGUAACGCAGCUAACGCGUGAAGUAGACCGCCUGGGGAGUACGGUCGCAAGAUUA
Molecule: ribosomal RNA, 874 nt
Filed under: uncultured bacterium
Lineage: Bacteria
Description: bacterial SSU rRNA
Rfam family: Bacterial small subunit ribosomal RNA
Source: RNAcentral